Molecule: transfer RNA, 69 nt
Filed under: Ictidomys tridecemlineatus (thirteen-lined ground squirrel)
Lineage: Eukaryota; Metazoa; Chordata; Mammalia; Rodentia; Sciuridae
Description: Spermophilus tridecemlineatus (thirteen-lined ground squirrel) tRNA
Rfam family: tRNA
About the family: Transfer RNA (tRNA) molecules are approximately 80 nucleotides in length. Their secondary structure includes four short double-helical elements and three loops (D, anti-codon, and T loops).
Source: Rfam by way of RNAcentral
GGGGUUGUAGCUCAGUGGUAGAGUGCUUGCCUCGUAUGUAUGAAGCACUGGGUUUGAUCCUCAGCACCA